UUCAUGGAGCUGAUUGAACGUGUGGAGCGCGGCGUGCCGCUGCCGGAGCUGCUGGCAGCCUUCAACGAGCCCAGCACCUCAGACUACCUGGUGGUUUACCUCCGCCUGCUCACCUCAGGCUGCCUCCAACGCCACCGCCGCUUCUUCGAGCAGUUCCUGGAGGGAGGGCGCAGCAUCAAGGAGUUCUGCCAGCAGGAGGUGGAACCCAUGUGCAAGGAGAGCGACCACAUCCACAUCAUCGCGUUGGCACGAGCGCUGCAGGUGCCGGUGUUGGUGGAAUACAUGGACCGGGGUGAGGGGGGUGCCACCAACCCCCACGUGUUCCCCGAGGGUUCACAACCCCGUGUUUGCCUCCUCUAUCGCCCCGGCCACUACGACAUCCUCUACAAGUGACCGCGCCGCUCGCACGGCCUCGCACGAGUCCCCCAAAGGCUCUGCAAGGCUUUGCACGAGGCCUGCGGGGCCGUGCGCUGCCCCCUGUGGUCUCACGAGGCUCUUGCACGAGCGCCACGCGGUCGUGUUUGGCCUUGCACGAGUCCCCUGGGGCUGUGCACGGCUUCGGCGGGUCUUGCACGAGGCCUGCAGGGUUCUGCGGGGCUUCCCGUGGCUCCGCAAGGUCCUUACACGAGCCUUUGCACGGCCGUGCGUGGCCUUGCACAAGUCCUGCAGGUCCCUGUCAGGCCUUGCACAACCCUCCAGGGUCUCGAGCAGCCUCACGAUGGCCUUGCACGAGCCCUGCGGGGCUUUGCACGAGUCCCCGUGCGCCCUUGCACGGCCCUUGUGCAUCCUCCCUCCCCUUCAGUUCCAAAUAAAGAUGUGGCCCCCCCUACUUGUGCAGGCGAGCAGCCUCACGAUGGCCUUGCACGAGCCCUGCGGGGCUUUGCACGAGUCCCCGUGCGCCCUUGCACGGCCCUUGUGCAUCCUCCCUCCCCUUCAGUUCCAAAUAAAGAUGUGGCCCCCCCUACUUGUGCACGUGUUUAUUGGAGGGGGUGCAUUGGUUGGGCUGGGGGCGGGGG
Molecule: long non-coding RNA, 1016 nt
Filed under: Chrysolophus pictus (golden pheasant)
Lineage: Eukaryota; Metazoa; Chordata; Aves; Galliformes; Phasianidae
Description: lncRNA (ENSCPIG00010009631.1)
Source: RNAcentral